Molecule: long non-coding RNA, 3807 nt
Filed under: Sus scrofa (pig)
Lineage: Eukaryota; Metazoa; Chordata; Mammalia; Artiodactyla; Suidae
Description: lncRNA (ENSSSCG00030007427.1)
Source: RNAcentral
ACCGCGCAGGUUGUGCGUGUCUUACUCUCCAGGGUCACUGUUUGCUUUUGAGUCUCUUCUGUCGUGCUCUGAGCUGCACUGGUCGUUGGAGUCGAGAGAAGGACGCAGAAGCGGAGGAAACUUCGCAAUGGACUCAGUGACCUUUGAUGAUGUGGUUGUGAACUUCACCCUGGAGGAGUGGGCUUUACUGGAUCCUUCACAGAAGAAACUCUACAGAGAUGUGAUGGAGGAAACCCUCAGAAACCUGGCCUCACUAGGAAAAACAUGGGAAGAUCAUGAUGUUGGAGAUCAGUACAGAAACCAUGGGGGGAAACUAAGGAUAUGAUUGCUAUUUCAGGAAGCAAGGCUGAUUUUCUGUAUUGAAUGCCCUGAGGAGAUAAACUUAUCCUGCCACUGGUGAUGAAAUUGUUGUUUUCUAGAAGGCCAAAGUGAGUAUUGGAGCUAAACUUAAUUCCUUCUUUUUUUUUUUUUUUUACAGGCCACACCUGAGGUAUAUGGACAUUCCCAGAGGUCAAAUCAGAGCUGCAGCUGCAGGCCUAUACUACAGCCAUAGCAACACUGGAUCCUUAAACCAAUGAGCAGGACCAGUGAUCAAAUCCACAUCCUCAUGGAUACUAGUCAGGUUCAUUACUGUUGAGCCACAACUGGAACUCAAAACUUUAUAAUAAAUUCCAUUCACUCAUCUUAGUAAGAAAAGGAAUAUAGUGGUCAUUUUUAUCUUUCCCCAUUUUUAUUUUAUUUUUGACCAUGCUGAAAGCAUGUGGAAGUUCCCCAGCCAAGAGUCAAACCUGCCACAGCAGUGGCCCACACCAUAGCAUUGACAAUGCCAUAUUCUUAACCACUAGGCCACCAGGGAACUCCUCUUACCAUUUUUAGAGACAGCAUUGUAAAAUAUUCUUUUUUCUUUAUUAUAGUUGAUUUACAAUGUUUUGUCUACAAAAUAUUCUUAUGUCUUUGUCUGUCAUGAUCACCAAGUACCUUUGGUGUAUAACAUUUUUCUCUUCAUCUGGAAAAGACUUUGCCUUUUGAAAUAUGCAGGCCAGCUCCUGGUCCUCUGGAAUUGCCUUCGCUUUUCCUGCUUGGGAUCCAGUUGUUUCCUGCCUGUUAUAUAAAUUUUCUGCUCAAUAUACUAUGUAAUCAUUUUAAUAUCUCUUUUAUGAUUCAACUGAGGCCUAUUCAGGUAAUUUGUGUCAAUUCGAGUGAUACUAUAAUUGAGUAUAAAAGGAGUGAUAGGAAGUUUUUAAUGUUUUUUUUUUUUUCUUUCAGUGGGACCUGGGAGCCAUUUGUUUCCAUGAUCUACAAGAAAGCCCCACAGUGGGUUUUUUGUUUUGUUUUGUUUUGUUUUUUAAAGCUGUACCUGGGGCAUCUGAAUGUUCCCAGGCUAGGGGUCGAAUUGGAGCUGUAGCUGCCAGCCUAAACCACAGCAACACAGGAUUAGAGCCCUGUCUGUGACCUACACCACACCUCACAGCAAUACCAGAUCCUCAACACACUGAGCGAGGCCAGGGAUCGAAUCCAAAACCUCAUGGUUCCUAGUUGGAUUCAUUUCCACUGCGCCAUGAUGGGCACUCCUUUUUUGUUUGUUUGUUUUUGAUCCAGGAAGUUUCAUGUGCCGAGGGUGUGACAUACAAAAAAGAAAAUUGAUUUAAAAAAUUUAUUUUAAAAAAAGGCAAGAGUUCCCAGCAUGGCAGAACGGGAUUGGUGGCAUCUCUGCAGAGCCAGGACAUGAAUUUGAUCCCCGGCCCAACACAGUGGGUUAAGGGAUCUGUUGCCCCAGCAUUGGUGUGGAUUGCUACUGCGGCUCAGAUCUGAUCCCUGGCCUGGAAACUCCAUAUGCCUCAGGGUGGCCAGAAAAGGGGUGGGGGGAGGAGUUCCCAUUGUGGCUCAGCAACUACUAUCCGUGGGGACAUGGGUUUGAUCCCUGGCCUUGCUCAGUGGGUUAAGGAUCCAGUGUUGUUGUGGCUGUGGCAUAGUCCCGCAGCUACAGCUCCAAUUGGACCCCUAGCCUGGGAACCUCCAUAUACAGCCCUAAAAAAAAACACACACACAAAAAAAGAAAAGGUGGGAAGAAAGGGCAUUGGUACUUGAAGCAUAGAGCAAAAAUUGGUCCCUCUGUCAUAUCCAACUUACUGGAAGAACUGUGUUGCCCUCAGUGGGUGCCUUCUGUAGUAGGUCACUUCCUUCUGGACACAUUGCCACUUGAGGUGUCACUCAGGAUCACAUGAGAGACCAGGGAGUUCACAUAGUUUACAUAAAGGGUGCUACUACCACCCUUGAUGGGGUCCACUGCAGAGAUGUUGCAUUCUGUCCCUAAAUCAAGCAGGCAACCUGGGAUCGGGGACUGGACCCAGGUGUUAGAUGAAUUAAUCCAGCUUCACGCAUGGUGCUGGCACUAGAGAAUUCCCUGCCACCAGUUGAACUCACGUGCACAUCAUUAUAGGUCCUUUGGCCACUGCCAAGAAUCCAGGUGUCACAUCUACCAGUAACAGCUCCUUUCCAAGCUCACCCUUUUGGCAUAAGAACACUGAGGAUACCUUGCCUCGCAAUAUCCAAGGACAAAUCAGUGCCAGUCCUCUCUGCACUUAUUAAACUUCAAACUGCCAAGGCUUAUUUCAAUGUACAGGGCAAUCAACUGACUUGAAUUUCUGACCAUGCUGUCACCUGGGAUCUGAUGGUAUUAACCUUGGCCCUGUGAGCCCCCACAAUCCAUAACCAUUUGGAGUUCUCUAACCUCAGUGGUAAGCAAAAUUCAUGGGCCAUCCCUUCUCUGCCAUGGCUGCCUUAGCAACUGGCUGGGGCAUCUGAUGUGAAUAAAUCCACCAUUGGUAAUAUACUCAAUGGACAGAGUUUCCAGACCAAGGAAGGAGUCCCUACAGCUGAUGGCAAACAGAUUUUCUAGCGCCCCUCACCCCCUCUACAGGCUACUUGCUAUGCUCCCAUGGUAGAUACUUACAUACAGAAAUUACUUAUCCUAUCAUACACAACCUUCCUGAAACCAAAAUGCCAUGACUCAUCAACACAGUGUAGAAACUAUUGACAUCAACUCAAUUCUAAAAAAACCAGGCUCUUGAAAAAGUCAUGCAGUGCAGUCAUAGGAUCCCAUUCUACAACCCUUAAAGGGUUUCCAAAUGCCUUCCUUAAACUUUGCUUUCUUCUCCAUAGUUCUUCCUGCUGUUCGGGGCAUUAUUCAGAUUCAAUCCACAGUGGUCCAGGUAAGUUACUUUGUUCUGAUCAUCAGGUUUACAGUUAUCUUACAGGUAGAGCCUUUCUGUACUAGACAUGUCUGUCAGAUUGGUCACUCCUACGGGUCUUUGGUUUAUUGUCAUAGGCCACCACUGUUAUACCCACUCCUGGGUCUUCCUCCUAAUAUCACCCAUAGACUGUUGCCCUUCGUUUCAGUAUUUCACUUUGACCACCUUUAAAACCCUCUGGGCCAUCCAACACAAAUGUGUCCUUUUCCUGCAAUUUACAAUCACAUGCUCAUUGUCAUUGGAGCACUGGUACUGACCUGGGCACACAUCAUGUCAUUUAACAAAUACAUUAGGAGUUCCCAUUAUGGCUCAGUGGUAAUGAACCCAACUAGUAUCCAUGAGGAUGUAGGUUCAGUCCCUGGGCUAGUGGGUUAAGGGAAACGGCGUUGCCGUGAGCUGUGGUCUAGGUUGCAGAUGCGGCUCAGAUCCAGUGUGGCUGUGGCUGCAGCGUAGGCCAGCAGCUGUAGUUCCAACUUGACCCCUAGCCUGCGAACUUCCAUAUGCCACAGUGGCAGCCCUAAAAAAGCAAAAAAAAAAAAAAAAAAAAAAAAAAAAA